AUGUCGAUGGCACGGACCGACACCGGCCCCUACGGGGUAGUGCUUCCCCACUCUCACCCAAGGGCGUCAGAGAUGAUGUUUGUCCACGGUGGCAACGUGUUGGUCGGUUUCUUCGACACAACUGGUAAGCUGUUUCAGAAGAGACUAUGUGAGGGGGAUGUGUUCAUCUUUCCCCGUGGUCUGGUUCACUUCAUCAUGAACUAUGGUUUCCAUCUUGCGACAACGUUCUCCGUGCUCAGCAGUCAGAACCCUGGUGUGGCUGGCAUCACCCAUGCAAUGUUUGCGCCAGAUUCAGAUGUAGUUGAGGAGCUGAUGGCCAGAAUGAUGAAGUUCGGAGAGAUGGAAAUCCCUGACAACAAGACUACUGAUUUUCCAUGGACUUGCUGA
Molecule: ribosomal RNA, 387 nt
Filed under: Triticum aestivum (bread wheat)
Lineage: Eukaryota; Viridiplantae; Streptophyta; Magnoliopsida; Poales; Poaceae
Description: partial small subunit ribosomal RNA
Source: RNAcentral